This 712-nucleotide long non-coding RNA is filed under the name Olea europaea subsp. europaea. The record is from RNAcentral. Lineage: Eukaryota; Viridiplantae; Streptophyta; Magnoliopsida; Lamiales; Oleaceae.
UAAUGAGGCCGUGAAGCAUAUUUGGUCGAUCAAAGAAAAGAAGAAUUGAAUGAUCUAUGAGGAGGUACUUACAAUUGUAACCAGUGAAAGAUAAAUAUAAUGCAUCAGUAACUUUGUAUUUCUAAUAUUGCAAUUUGUAAUGUCAAGGGGAAAGCGAGGGAUUGCCAAAAUUUGCCUAUUUCUAAGAUAUGCUUCUCUCUGAUAUAGAGAUCCAAUCUCAAUCUAUACAUCAAAGCUGUUCACUAUGAGCUUCAACCAUUUGCCUGCAGCAUUCCUAGUUGUGGGAUGAAAUUUGCAUUCAAACAUAUCAGGGAUAAUAAUGAAAAAUCUGGGAGACAUGUUUAUACCCAGGUAAGUUUGGCCUUAUUUCCCAAUUUUACAACUCGACUAUCAGUCCCUUUUCCAUCCUGAGAGAUGUUUUGGGCAAUUAAAAUAUAAACUACUCUUUGAGUCUUGCUAUGUUCAGGGAAAUUUUGAAGAGUCCAAUGAGCAAUUUGUCUAAGACCAAGAGGUUUCAGGAAAAGAACAAGCCUAGAGAUUGAGACCUUGAUGCGGAAAAGGGUUGUUUCGCCUAGUGAAUCAGGUCUCAUGAGACAGGAGGGACCUGAAUACUUGUCGUGGCUACUUUUUGGAUAUUCGCAGGAUUAAACAAUCGUUGGGAGAAGACGUAGAUGCUGCCAUCAAACAUAUGUAAAAGUAUGGUAUUCAUAGG